UGGGGAAUUUUGGACAAUGGGCGCAAGCCUGAUCCAGCCAUGCCGCGUGCAGGAAGAAGGCCUUCGGGUUGUAAACUGCUUUUGUCAGGGAAGAAAUCCUUUGGGUUAAUACCUCGAAGGGAUGACGGUACCUGAAGAAUAAGCACCGGCUAACUACGUGCCAGCAGCCGCGGUAAUACGUAGGGUGCGAGCGUUAAUCGGAAUUACUGGGCGUAAAGCGUGCGCAGGCGGCUUUGCAAGACAGAUGUGAAAUCCCCGGGGCUCAACCUGGGAACUGCAUUUGUGACUGCAAGGCUAGAGUGCGGCAGAGGGAGAUGGAAUUCCGCGUGUAGCAGUGAAAUGCGUAGAUAUGCGGAGGAACACCGAUGGCGAAGGCAAUCUCCUGGGCCUGCACUGACGCUCAUGCACGAAAGCGNGGGGAGCAAACAGGAUUAGAUACCCUGGUAGUCCACGCCCUAAACGAUGUCAACUGGUUGUUGGACGGCUUGCUGUUCAGUAACGAAGCUAACGCGUGAAGUUG
RNAcentral lists this ribosomal RNA (520 nucleotides) under uncultured bacterium. RNAcentral describes it as "partial 16S ribosomal RNA". It matches the Rfam family "Bacterial small subunit ribosomal RNA", at positions 355 to 867 of the family's 1533-position model. The record is from RNAcentral.